AUUGAACGCUGGCGGCAUGCCUUACACAUGCAAGUCGAACGGCAGCGGACCUUCGGGUGCCGGCGAGUGGCGAACGGGUGAGUAAUAUAUCGGAACGUACCUUUCAGUGGGGGAUAACGUAGCGAAAGUUACGCUAAUACCGCUAUAAUUCUGUGAGCAGGAAAGCAGGGGAUCGCAAGACCUUGCGCUGAUUGAGCGGCCGAUAUCAGAUUAGCUAGUUGGUGAGGUAAAGGCUCACCAAGGCGACGAUCUGUAGCGGGUCUGAGAGGAUGAUCCGCCACACUGGAACUGAGACACGGUCCAGACUCCUACGGGAGGCAGCAGUGGGGAAUUUUGGACAAUGGGCGCAAGCCUGAUCCAGCCAUGCCGCGUGAGUGAAGAAGGCCUCGGUUGUAAGUAC
Molecule: ribosomal RNA, 400 nt
Filed under: uncultured bacterium
Lineage: Bacteria
Description: bacterial SSU rRNA
Rfam family: Bacterial small subunit ribosomal RNA
Source: RNAcentral